This 557-nucleotide ribosomal RNA is filed under the name Dujonia railenensis. Its description in RNAcentral is "[Candida] railenensis partial large subunit ribosomal RNA". It matches the Rfam family "Eukaryotic large subunit ribosomal RNA", at positions 46 to 606 of the family's 3401-position model. Lineage: Eukaryota; Fungi; Ascomycota; Pichiomycetes; Serinales; Debaryomycetaceae. The record is from RNAcentral.
AUAAGCGGAGGAAAAGAAACCAACAGGGAUUGCCUUAGUAACGGCGAGUGAAGCGGCAAAAGCUCAAAUUUGAAAUCUAGCACUUUCAGUGUUCGAGUUGUAAUUUGAAGAAGGUAACUUUGGAAUUGGCUCUUGUCUAUGUUCCUUGGAACAGGACGUCACAGAGGGUGAGAAUCCCGUGCGAUGAGAUGUCCAAUUCUAUGUAAAGUGCUUUCGAAGAGUCGAGUUGUUUGGGAAUGCAGCUCUAAGUGGGUGGUAAAUUCCAUCUAAAGCUAAAUAUUGGCGAGAGACCGAUAGCGAACAAGUACAGUGAUGGAAAGAUGAAAAGAACUUUGAAAAGAGAGUGAAAAAGUACGUGAAAUUGUUGAAAGGGAAGGGCUUGAGAUCAGACUUGGUAUUUUGUGUUCCUUAUCCUUCUUGGAUUAGGUUCCUCACAGCUUACCGGGCCAGCAUCGGUUUGGAUGGCAGGAUAAUGACAUUGGAAUGUAGCUUUGCUUCGGUGAAGUGUUAUAGACUUUGUUGAUACUGCCUAUCUAGACCGAGGACUGCGUCUUUGA